RNA transcript from Symphalangus syndactylus (siamang), 2956 nucleotides. RefSeq lists it as uncharacterized. The record is from RefSeq and is a predicted model, not a curated record. Lineage: Eukaryota; Metazoa; Chordata; Mammalia; Primates; Hylobatidae.
GGUGCGUUGGGAUGUGUGCAGUAAUCAGGCUGCCAGACUGAGAAAGGGAGGCACCGCUAGACCCCACGAGCAAGGGCCCUCCAUGUCCCGUCAGACCUAAAACCAACUUUCGGCCCAAGACCAGCGUCAUUUCUCCAGAGGACCUUGUCUGAGAAACCAUCUUCCUCCCUGCUCCCACCCCUUCCCAGCUUCCCGCACAGCCCUUGCCUCCUUCCUCCCAGGAGCUCAGGCCGUAGCCCUGGGCCCUCCCAUACCUGCCAUUCUCCCAGCCCCGUCUGUCCUUCAGCCAACCCCGCUGGCCCCACCUCCAUGGUGUGUUCAGAACCAGACGUCUCUAUCCCAAGUCCCAGCACCGCCCUCCCUCUCCUGGUGGCUGCAGCAGCACCUGCCCCAUGUCCCCCCGGCCCCCAACAGCCUCUGCUCGGGGCAGUGCUCACCCCGCGUCCUCGCACCCUCACACCUGGCCUCACCCACCCCAGCCACAGAUGUUUUCUGGGCCUCAGUCCUCCUCAUCCUCUGCUGCUCCUCCCAUGCGCCCAACACCCUGGGGCCCACUCUCUCCCCGCCUUCAGGUCUUGGCUGUGGGGACACUUCUCGGUGAGGCCCCACUUCCACCCCAUCCCUCAGGGCCCCACCCUGUGCCAGCCCAGUGGCCCUGCAGGAUCUUCAUCACAGCCCAGUACUUCCCUUCCUCUUUCGUUUUCUGUGUCUGUGCUGGAGCGGCCAUCCAGGGAGGCAGGCUUUGGUCUGUCUUGUUCACUGCGGUGGCCCAGUGCCCACACGCGCCUGUGCCCCACGGGAAGUAGCUAAGUACUGUUGGGAGUGAGUGUGGACACCUAGCACCCCACCCCCGGAAUCGGCCACACCUGUGUGCACAGCGCCCCUUCCCCACCCAGCAGCCUAUCCCUGCCUGAUCUGUCUCCCUCUGCCUCUCUUCCCCUCCAAGCUAUGAGCCCCUGUGGCCCCCACCCCAGGCCAGACACCCCAAAGGCCAUCUUCGAGUGUGGUCUGUGUGCGUGGAAUGAACAAAUGAGCAGGCUGAGCCCGUGCCCCGGGGGAUCAGUGCCUAUAGCAACCAGAACCAGCAGAGUCCCAGCCCCACCCACCUCACCCGGACAGCCCACGAAGGGGUGUGCCAACCGGGGUGCCACCAGGCCUGCCCUGACUCUCUUGACUGAAGUGGGCAACAACCCCUCCGUCUCCUCAGCCACACCCGGGCCCGGGGCACUCUUAAGCCCCCAUCUCUGCACCCCUGGGUGUGGUCACGCUGCUCCCCGGUCCACGCAGACAGCCAUUUGCAGAGACCCUCUCUGGAAGGAGAAGGGCUGGCCCAGAGCCCCAAGACCUGAACACCCCAGACCCCUCGCCCACACACAGCAGCCUCUGGAGAGAGCUCCCGCCCAGCCCGGGGCAUCCCUCUUCAGGUGGCCCUCUGGCGUCUUGGCAGCGGCUGCCCGGAGCUGCCUUUCCUGGGAACACCUAAGCCCUGUGGAACCGACUCUCCCCCCUGCUCCCGGGCUUCCCUGUCUGGGCAGGGCCCUGGGCUGCGGGGGCCGCCUCAGGAGGCCUUGGCAGCUGUGGUCUGGGGCUGUGGUGAGCAGGCUGGGGCCCCACUGGGGCCUGGCUGGGACGUGUGAGCAGCCUCUGGCCUGGCAGGUCCCCUCCUGCCUCAUGUGCUCAAGGCCCUGGGGAAUCAGCUCCUGACAACAUGAGAAGGGACAUCCUGCAGGUCAGUCACCCCAUUUUACAAGUGGGGAAACUGAGGCGGAGGAGGGGACCUGCUGGAGGCUGAACAGGAAGGAAGCAGCACUGUGAGGCUGAGAAGCCUGGCAACUGCCCAUAGACCAGGCCUCCUCUGCUGGGCCAGGCUACACCAGCCCCUGGAAGCCCUCUCAGUGCAACUGCUUUUAAUGCACAGAUCACUCAGUGAUUCCCAAACAGUGUCCCAUGGAACCCCACGAGAUAGGACAUGCCUGACCACAGAAGGGCUCAGGGGCCAGCGAGGACAGGAGAUGCCACGUGAGGCAUCAAGCCACGACAUGAAGCCAAACGGUGGCAUUUCAGGCUGGUAAGAGAAGUGGCGUUGGAACCAUAUAUCCUGGGGAGCCACCUCCGGCCAGGGCCCUGUGUUCCCUUCCCCACAUGCAGUACCCGCACACCCUCAUGCCCCCGGCCUUGCCCACCAGGCAGGCAUGGCUAGACGUGGGUUCAGUCUCCGUUCCGCCCUGUCUCAACCUGGGUGAGGCACCUGCUGACCCAGAGCCUGUUUCCCCACUUGUGUCUCAGGGGACUAAGACCCGCCCACCACCUCAGACUGUGUGUGGCUAUGAGCCAGUGAAAAACCCACAUGUCCUCAUGAGGCCUACCUCUCAGACCCUGGCCUCCCAGGGGCUGGCUGCACCUUGGCAGGUACCUGGGGCCCUGGGCCGUAGCGGCCUGUGCUUCUAGAAGCUGGGCAGGGCAGCUUGAGGCGAACCCUGGGAUGGAACUUGCAGCCACCCUGGCUGGGGACAGCUGGGACCACCCCUACUCCUGAGACACCACCAGCAAAUUGCAAAUUCCAACGGCAGCUGGAUUUUUCACCCGAUCUAUGCAAUCAAGUCACAGGACCUGCACGGCAACGCAUCUGAGACAAUGCGGUGUCACCUUCACGGAGCCGCUCUGGCAAAGAGACUCCAGCCUUGCCAGCCUCUCGCCUCCCAAGCACAGAAGCCUCCAGAACGCUGCUUCGAGGACAAGCCCAGGAGACCUGCCAUGCUCAUGCGUGUCUUUGGAAACAGGUUCUCUAAAUUUUGCUUGUGGUUUGUUAAAAAAAAAAAAAUCAGAAGUGUAAUCAAAGACUUCAACAAAUGAAGCACCAAAACACUUCAGCUUUGAAAUGUAGAAUUGCAAUGAUUGGAAACACGGCUUGCAAAGCAAAAGACAUUAAAAUUCAGUCAUCCCUACAGAAGCCAGA